UACGUAGGGACCAAGCGUUGUCCGGAUUUACUGGGCGUAAAGAGCGCGCAGGCGGUCGUUCAAGUCGCGUGUGAAAGCCCCCGGCUCAACUGGGGAGGGUCACGCGAUACUGAUCGACUCGAAGGCAGGAGAGGGAAGUGGAAUUCCCGGUGUAGUGGUGAAAUGCGUAGAUAUCGGGAGGAACACCAGUGGCGAAGGCGACUUCCUGGCCUGUUCUUGACGCUGAGGCGCGAAAGCUAGGGGAGCAAACGGG
This 253-nucleotide ribosomal RNA is filed under the name uncultured bacterium. Its description in RNAcentral is "partial 16S ribosomal RNA". It matches the Rfam family "Bacterial small subunit ribosomal RNA", at positions 524 to 776 of the family's 1533-position model. The record is from RNAcentral.